Long non-coding RNA from Sapajus apella (tufted capuchin), 497 nucleotides. RefSeq lists it as uncharacterized. The record is from RefSeq and is a predicted model, not a curated record. Lineage: Eukaryota; Metazoa; Chordata; Mammalia; Primates; Cebidae. The transcript is spliced from 2 exons.
AAAAUUUAAAAUAAAGUACUUUAUAAGUUGUUAAAUCAUAUUUUUAAAUUAGGAAUUUCAGGAUGUUAAUAUUCCUAGAUGGUAUUUGGUAUCCUGUUGCUGUGACAUGAUAAAAUUGUCCAAAUUGACUUGGAGCCAUUAUGUGUGAUCCUUUUCUGACCUUUUAAAAAAAACUACUUGCAAAUUAAAACAUUGACAGUAGUUCAGCUGUUUUAUAAUAUGAAACUUAUUUGCCUUCUUGUCAAAAUAACACUUUAUCAGAGGCCCUAAGAAUUGGUGAACAUAAAAAAGAGGACGGAAGAGUCAGAAGUUUUGUUUGAAUCUUUUCUAAGUGCUUUUUAAAACCAUUCUAAUAUUCUUCCUAGAAUCUGUUACAAGAACUCUGUGAAAUAAUGGUUAUGAAAGACAUAGCACAGUUCCUGACACAUAAUAGUUUUGUAUAGCAUAUUGCCAGUUGUCAUAUUGCCAAUAACAAAUAAACGUUAUUGCCAAUAAUU